RNAcentral lists this microRNA precursor (70 nucleotides) under Tursiops truncatus (common bottlenose dolphin). RNAcentral describes it as "miRNA (ENSTTRG00000024632.1)". Lineage: Eukaryota; Metazoa; Chordata; Mammalia; Artiodactyla; Delphinidae. The record is from RNAcentral.
UUGGCCAAAAAGUUUAUUCGGGUUUUUCCAUAAGAUGUUAUGUUAAAACCCAAAUGAAAUUUUGGGUCAA